This 77-nucleotide transfer RNA is filed under the name Chloroflexota bacterium. Its description in RNAcentral is "Chloroflexi bacterium (groundwater metagenome) tRNA-Pro". It matches the Rfam family "tRNA". From Rfam's summary of the family: Transfer RNA (tRNA) molecules are approximately 80 nucleotides in length. The record is from RNAcentral. Lineage: Bacteria; Bacillati; Chloroflexota.
CGGGGCGUAGCGCAGCCCGGUAGCGCACUUGAAUGGGGUUCAAGUGGUCGGCGGUUCAAAUCCGCCCGCCCCGACCA